This 449-nucleotide ribosomal RNA is filed under the name uncultured bacterium. RNAcentral's name for it is "partial 16S ribosomal RNA". It matches the Rfam family "Bacterial small subunit ribosomal RNA", at positions 29 to 523 of the family's 1533-position model. The record is from RNAcentral.
AACGGACGCUGGCGGCAUGCCUAAUACAUGCAAGUCGAACGAUCACUUCGGUGGUAGUGGCGCACGGGUGCGUAACGCGUGGGAAUCUGCCCUUGGGUUCGGAAUAACGUCGGGAAACUGACGCUAAUACCGGAUGAUGACGUGAGUCCAAAGAUUUAUCGCCCAGGGAUGAGCCCGCGUAGGAUUAGCUAGUUGGUGGGGUAAAGGCCUACCAAGGCGACGAUCCUUAGCUGGUCUGAGAGGAUGAUCAGCCACACUGGGACUGAGACACGGCCCAGACUCCUACGGGAGGCAGCAGUAGGGAAUAUUGGACAAUGGGGGCAACCCUGAUCCAGCAAUGCCGCGUGAGUGAUGAAGGCCUUAGGGUUGUAAAGCUCUUUUACCCGGGAUGAUAAUGACAGUACCGGGAGAAUAAGCCCCGGCUAACUCCGUGCCAGCAGCCGCAGUAA